UACGAAGGGGGCUAGCGUUGCUCGGAAUCACUGGGCGUAAAGGGUGCGUAGGCGGGUUUUUAAGUCAGAGGUGAAAUCCUGGAGCUCAACUCCAGAACUGCCUUUGAUACUGAGAAUCUUGAGUUCGGGAGAGGUGAGUGGAACUGCGAGUGUAGAGGUGAAAUUCGUAGAUAUUCGCAAGAACACCAGUGGCGAAGGCGGCUCACUGGCCCGGUACUGACGCUGAGGUGCGAAAGCGUGGGGAGCAAGCAGG
Molecule: ribosomal RNA, 253 nt
Filed under: uncultured bacterium
Lineage: Bacteria
Description: partial 16S ribosomal RNA
Rfam family: Bacterial small subunit ribosomal RNA
Source: RNAcentral